This 533-nucleotide ribosomal RNA is filed under the name Pachydactylus scutatus (large-scaled gecko). Its description in RNAcentral is "partial large subunit ribosomal RNA". It matches the Rfam family "Bacterial large subunit ribosomal RNA", at positions 1923 to 2637 of the family's 2925-position model. Lineage: Eukaryota; Metazoa; Chordata; Lepidosauria; Squamata; Gekkonidae. The record is from RNAcentral.
UUUAACGGCCGCGGUAUCAUAACCGUGCAAAGGUAGCGUAAUCACCUGUCUCCUAAAUAGAGACCUGUAUGAACGGCUAACUGAAGGUUUUACUGUCUCCUUUGGCCAAUCAAUGAAACUGAUCCCUCAGUACAAAAGCUGAGAUGAUUACACAAGACGAGAAGACCCUGUGGAGCUUCUAAACCUACCACUAUUAAAAAACUAGCCCUAAAUGGUAUAACAUUCCCCCGAUAGUAUAAAUUUUAAGUUGGGGCGACUGCGGAGAAAAAAGAAACCUCCAUGAAAUCGGACUAGCCCACGCCCGCGCGGCCUACAAGCCAAACAAACACACACUGACCCAGUAACACUGAAAAUCGAACCAAGUUACCCCAGGGAUAACAGCGCCAUCUCCCCCAAGAGUCCAUAUCGCCAGGGAGGCUUACGACCUCGAUGUUGGAUCAGGACACCCAGGUGGUGUAGCCGCUACCAAAGGUUCGUUUGUUCAACGAUUAAUGUCCUACGUGAUCUUCAACGAUUAAUGUCCUACGUGAUCU